Molecule: non-coding RNA, 30 nt
Filed under: Homo sapiens (human)
Lineage: Eukaryota; Metazoa; Chordata; Mammalia; Primates; Hominidae
Source: RNAcentral
UAGAUGUUAAAGAAGUCCAGAACCAGAACC